Non-coding RNA from Camelina sativa (false flax), 289 nucleotides. Lineage: Eukaryota; Viridiplantae; Streptophyta; Magnoliopsida; Brassicales; Brassicaceae. The record is from RefSeq and is a predicted model, not a curated record.
UUGUUCUCAAGACGGCUGAGCAAACUCCUUUAUCUGCUCUUCUUGUUGGAAGACUACUUCAUGAGGCUGGACUUCCUGAAGGAGUUGUGAAUAUAGUUUCUGGAUUUGGUGCUACAGCUGGUGCAGCCAUAGCUAGUCACAUGGACGUAGAUAAGGUUGCUUUCACCGGGUCUACUGACGUCGGGAAGAUCAUUCUUGAGUUGGCUUCAAAAAGCAACCUUAAGGCAGUGACACUUGAGCUAGGAGGAAAGUCACCAUUCAUUGUAUGUGAAGAUGCUGAUGUGGAUCA